GUAUAAAGUACCGUUAUUUGUUAAUCGCCUUUGAUUGGGUUUAAAUUCGAGUACUUACAGUUCAAUAGACGAUUUCAAUACGAAUUGAGUUACACCCAAUUAGCUGUUUAGUAUGUUAUAAAAGGAAGAAAAGAAACAGUUUAGAUAUAUUAGUGGUACCUUUUCAUUCUUUAGCCAUGCUGCCUCUCCAUAUCCCAAACCGUCCAAAUGAUCCACCAGAUUCCAUCUAUACAACUAUCAAGCUUGUACUUCGCCGUGUUUAUAUCAUCCUAUCUUGUCUACUGCCUGAUCCCAAGCCUAAUUCUCUUAUCACAACACCAUCAAUCUCUAUCACAAGAACCAUAUGUUACCUAUCACUUCAGUCUAGAUUCCAGGUACCGAUUCAAAAUCGUUUACCUUACUACGUCCAUGACAUUGAAAUUCAAAGAUACCAACCCAAGAGCUCAAACUUUGGCAAGACUACCUUCAGUCUUUCGUUCCAGGCAGCUAUAGCCUUGGCACUUUCAUUCCAGAGCUCUUCCACAGCUCAAGAUCAGCCUCAUUUGCAGUCUCUAUAUGCCAUUCUAGUGGCCAUGGUGAUUGCCGUUGCGGCGUCUUUCAUAGGGAUCCACCUGCGAGAUUCUUGCCCAAGAACUGCUAGCAUUGUUGAGAAAAUAGGGUCUCUUUCUGCUUUAACUGGGAUCAUCUUGCUAGUGGGUGUUUUCCUUCCAGGAAAGUUAAGUUGGAUCAGUUGGAUAGUUGGUUCUUUAUCAUUUCUAGCUCUUUUAUGGUCCUUGAGAUAAUUAUAUGUAAAUUAUAAGUAACUUGAAAUUGAUUGAAGUCAUAGGAGACUAUGACAAGAUGCAACUCCGCCUGUAUUGAAACAGCCGGUCCCAAGCCCGGAUAAAGGAGGAGGGUUAAAAAGAAACAAAGAGCUGAAAAUUUAUAAUAUUAACUCAUAUUUAUGAAAAAUAUUUAAUCUAAUUAGUUGGUGGUAUGAACCUGUCAUUAUAGGUAAGUCAUAUGGUGGUGGGAACUAGUGAUCUGGAGGGUCGUGAUGUCUCAAAUUCUACCAGCCUUGGGAAACAAAUGAUGAAGCUAACUAUGGAAGAUUUUUGGGGCCAACUAUCACAGGCAAAUAUCUCUGGCAAUAGUUGUUGAUAAAAAUAUAUUGCAGCACUAUUCCUGCAAAGGUAUUGCAAUGAGAUUGAGAUGGUCAGUGGCAGUUGUGUGAUAGAAUUUGACACCAACAACAAUUCAGCUGCUAAUAAUCGUAUCAGGAAUAGGUGCAAUAACUACUCGAUUGAUACAGAAGAAAAAAAAAGACUUACUCAAAUGGGACCGAAUCUCCAUUGUACUAGCUUUUACUUCCCUACUUGCACUCCUUGGGGUCUCUUAUUUUUCAACAACUGAUGGGAAAUUCUUUCCAAAGACAUUUAGACACACAUGGUCAUAUGUUGUGUUUAUAAUGGCGAUCAAUGUUGCCUUUUACUUGCCUAUUAAUGGAUUUAUUUUGAGCAAGACAUAUCCUAAUAUAGGCAAGGCAUUUAGACUGAUUGCCCUAGUAGGAUUGGACCUUUCUUUUACUGUAUUGUCAUGGACUCUGCUACCACCUGACUUUAACUGGCUUCCAUGGUUGUUCUUUAUUGCGACAUUUGGGGUAGUGCUCUACCAUAUUGCAAACAUCUGCUAUGUACAAACUGUGGAUCAAAGAGAGAUUCCAGGAUAGAUGCUGAUCAUCUUUUACCCAAAGAUAUGAUAUAUUUCAAGGUCAUACAUAAAACAAAGACAAACAUGCUUGGUA
Ricinus communis (castor bean) is the source of this 1783-nucleotide long non-coding RNA. RefSeq lists it as uncharacterized. The record is from RefSeq and is a predicted model, not a curated record. The transcript is spliced from 2 exons. NCBI's taxonomy places the organism in Eukaryota, Viridiplantae, Streptophyta, Magnoliopsida, Malpighiales, Euphorbiaceae.